Gadus macrocephalus (Pacific cod) is the source of this 414-nucleotide long non-coding RNA. RefSeq lists it as uncharacterized. The transcript has 3 exons. The record is from RefSeq and is a predicted model, not a curated record. Lineage: Eukaryota; Metazoa; Chordata; Actinopteri; Gadiformes; Gadidae.
GUAGCAUGUGAAAGUAGCGGACAUGGCAGCUUCAGUGGUUCAACCGUAUAUGUUCGAACCUGAAUCGGAUCCUGAAGAAGGAGAGGAGGCUCCUGCAGUACCCCAGACUCCGAGAAUUCAGCAGGAUGCUUCUGAAUGGUGCACAUGUGGAAAUUGUGCCACAAUGCAGUCAGAGCCGGAGAACUUAUGCUGUCAGGAGGUGCCUCAGGUUACAAGACGGCUGGAACAGCUGGAUGAAAGGCCUCCCUGCAUGAUAGACCAUCCAGGUUUAGAACCGGUUUGUCUGAAUGUGUUCUCGCUGCAGAACGCAUGCAACAUCUACAGAGCUGACUACGGUCCUUUGCGACUACGGGGGAUAGAGCAGUGAGUUUUACAUAUAAUAACCUACUUGACUGUUCAUACACAAUAAACUAA